RNAcentral lists this ribosomal RNA (680 nucleotides) under Salmonella enterica subsp. enterica serovar Zaiman. RNAcentral's name for it is "partial 23S ribosomal RNA". It matches the Rfam family "Bacterial large subunit ribosomal RNA", at positions 729 to 1405 of the family's 2925-position model. Lineage: Bacteria; Pseudomonadati; Pseudomonadota; Gammaproteobacteria; Enterobacterales; Enterobacteriaceae. The record is from RNAcentral.
UCUAGCCAUGGGCAGGUUGAAGGUUGGGUAACACUAACUGGAGGACCGAACCGACUAAUGUUGAAAAAUUAGCGGAUGACCUGUGGCUGGGGGUGAAAGGCCAAUCAAACCGGGAGAUAGCUGGUUCUCCCCGAAAGCUAUUUAGGUAGCGCCUCGUGAACUCAUCUCCGGGGGUAGAGCACUGUUUCGGCUAGGGGGCCAUCCCGGCUUACCAACCCGAUGCAAACUGCGAAUACCGGAGAAUGUUAUCACGGGAGACACACGGCGGGUGCUAACGUCCGUCGUGAAGAGGGAAACAACCCAGACCGCCAGCUAAGGUCCCAAAGUCAUGGUUAAGUGGGAAACGAUGUGGGAAGGCCCAGACAGCCAGGAUGUUGGCUUAGAAGCAGCCAUCAUUUAAAGAAAGCGUAAUAGCUCACUGGUCGAGUCGGCCUGCGCGGAAGAUGUAACGGGGCUAAACCAUGCACCGAAGCUGCGGCAGCGACAUUUAGGUGUUGUUGGGUAGGGGAGCGUUCUGUAAGCCUGUGAAGGUGGCCUGUGAGGGUUGCUGGAGGUAUCAGAAGUGCGAAUGCUGACAUAAGUAACGAUAAAGCGGGUGAAAAGCCCGCUCGCCGGAAGACCAAGGGUUCCUGUCCAACGUUAAUCGGGGCAGGGUGAGUCGACCCCUAAGGCGAGGCCGA